This 578-nucleotide long non-coding RNA is filed under the name Brassica napus (rape). Its description in RNAcentral is "long non-coding RNA (BNAP_LNC010666)". The record is from RNAcentral. Lineage: Eukaryota; Viridiplantae; Streptophyta; Magnoliopsida; Brassicales; Brassicaceae.
UUUAAUCCUAAAACACUAAGGAUUCACGCUAAGGAUUAGCUAAAAUCCAGCGUUGCACAUGCUCUUAGCAGUUUUUUAAUAAGGUUAUAUGUUAAGUGAUCCAAACUAAGGACAUUAAAAAAUUUGGUAGAUUAUUAGUGGGAUUUUGCUGGUCCCUUAGGUUAUUAUUUAAUUAAUUUAUUAUUUUAAUAAUGAAUAACAUAUAAAAAGAAGUUUAAAAUAAAACAUAUAAAAGAGAAGUUUAACAUUAAAAUUGAAAUCUUAAGAAAAUUACAAAGUUGGAAAAAAAAUACCGAACAUCAUAAUAAAAAAAACACACACACAAACAUUUAUUCCAAUACAAAUGACAUGAGAUAUUUAAAUCUUUACGAAUCAAACUCUAAACUAUUAGUCUAUACAAAUCAAAUCUAUACAAAUGACAUGAACUUAUUUUCACAGAUUGGAACUUGCACACAUAUCAAACUCUAAACCAGUUAAAGAAUUGAUCUCGAACCAUAUAAAUCUAUACGAACUAUCAUACAGUUGUUCAAAUCUAUACUAAACAAUCGAACAUAGAAAUUUGAACCGAACAAGGAUGU